CAGGGAGAGAGUUGAGUUAUGUACUAGACUGGUGGGGGUCAGGGAGAGAGUUGAGUUAUAUACUAGACUGGUGGGGGUCAGGGAGAGAAUUGAGUUAUGUUCUAGACUGGUGGGGGUCAGGGAGAGAGUUGAGUUAUGUACUAGACUGGUGGUGGUCGGGAGAGAGUUGAGUUAUGUACUAGACUGGUGGGGGUCAGGGAGAGAGUUGAGUUAUGUUCUAGACUGGUGGGGGUCAGCGAGAGAGUUGAGUUAUGUACUAGACUGGUGGGGGUCAGGGAGAGAGUUAUGUACUAGACUGGUGGGGGUCAGGGAGAGAGUUGAGUUAUGUUCUAGACUGGUGG
RNAcentral lists this long non-coding RNA (341 nucleotides) under Salmo salar (Atlantic salmon). Its description in RNAcentral is "lncRNA (ENSSSAG00000085229.1)". The record is from RNAcentral. Lineage: Eukaryota; Metazoa; Chordata; Actinopteri; Salmoniformes; Salmonidae.